GUAUAUGGUGGGUUUUGUGAUCGUCAAUGUUGUGGGUCACCCCCCUUUUUUAAACUCUCUCUCUCUUAAACGUUUUUCAUUUCUUCUCUGUUGAAAAAAAAUAAAUGGUGGAAGAGAGAGACCCAGUUGAUGUUUUCAUGAGUCUUGACCGGUGGCCUUUAUCGCCGCUUGAAGAUGAAGAAGAAACUGACACCGUUGCAGCGCGG
This 206-nucleotide unclassified non-coding RNA is filed under the name Hevea brasiliensis (rubber tree). Lineage: Eukaryota; Viridiplantae; Streptophyta; Magnoliopsida; Malpighiales; Euphorbiaceae. The record is from RNAcentral.